Aquila chrysaetos chrysaetos is the source of this 969-nucleotide long non-coding RNA. RefSeq lists it as uncharacterized. NCBI's taxonomy places the organism in Eukaryota, Metazoa, Chordata, Aves, Accipitriformes, Accipitridae. The transcript is spliced from 2 exons. The record is from RefSeq and is a predicted model, not a curated record.
AAAAGCUAAGCUCUGGAGACUCACCAUCAGCACGGAGGAGGUGCCGGGAGCCUGGCCGGAGGGUGAGCCACUAGCCGGUGGGAAAGAUCCUGCCAAGUGACCUGGUGUAAGCUGCCAAUGUGAGGGGUGUAAUCCUGCAAGCGUUUGAUCCACUGGCUUUGCUUACACUAUGGAGGUAACUCGUGCGUUGAAAGCUGAAAUUCAGCAGAAACUGAUGAGACCACCAUGGAGAAACGCUGGUUCACUGCACUGGCUAGUACCAGCUUGAUCUGGCUCCGGCUCUGGGAUGAGCAGCCUACAAACACAGUAAUGAAAAGAAAUAUUCUGAAAAGGAUGAGUCAGCUGGAGGCCGGUGGGGAGAGCAUGCGGGAUCUGACUGGAAUUUAAAAAGUUAUGAAGCUACAUGUUGUUUUGAGCCCUGCCAGUGGAGAAACCCAUACAUGCAAAACGCUUUGUCAUCUGGCAUAAUUAUGUUACUUUGCUGAUUAGCUGGUGAACUCUUUUCAAAAUGUUUUUAGACAAUAGUAAGUUCAUGAAAUAUAAAAACUUCCUGCUGACACCACGACAAGGGUCUGCUUUACGCGUUAUUGUGAACUGUCUUCCCCAGACCCCACCAGACUAUUGAACAGCCGUGAAAUUGUUCUCUUAUUAUGUAUUAGAUGACUUACCUAUUAAAACAGUUGAGGUAGCUUCACACCUUCACUUCUGUGCUGUAAGUACAUCUGUGCUGGUGUGAACUGUGGGUACACCCACACUUGUAGGGCAAACUGUAUUUCUGUGCUUGAUUUUUGCAUGGAAAACUGCAGUUUGGUGUGAAGCUUCUUCGCUCACUCUUCCAGCCAGCUACCAAGACGUCUUUCCUGCCUUCACUGGAAAGCAGUGCCCGGCAUUCGGAUAAUUUGCAAGACAGAUAACUUUCAAAGGUUUGAGGUUUUGGCUGUAAGGUUCUUUAAAUAAAUGACAUCAGAA